GGCAAGAUGGCCGAGCGGUCUAAGGCGCCACGUUAAGGAGUUCCAAACCCUUAAUCUCAGUUUCCGUGGUCCGAAAGGGCGUGGGUUCGAAUCCCACUCUUGUCA
RNAcentral lists this transfer RNA (105 nucleotides) under Lasiosphaeria miniovina. It matches the Rfam family "tRNA". From Rfam's summary of the family: Transfer RNA (tRNA) molecules are approximately 80 nucleotides in length. The record is from Rfam by way of RNAcentral. Lineage: Eukaryota; Fungi; Ascomycota; Sordariomycetes; Sordariales; Lasiosphaeriaceae.